AUGAAAGACCCCAAAAAGAAAAGAAAGACCCCAACCCCCUGCCUUUUGUUUUUCUUUACCAUUAUGACUGUUACUCACAAAUGUGGAAGUGCAGGACAAAAGGUGACGUGGACCGAUCCGCAUCUGGAUGCCAUGAAGGCUCAGAAGUUUUCCUGUCAUGACAUCCAGAUCUGCAUUCAGGCCCCGCCCUAUUUCCUCCACUGUCCCCGCCCACACUUGAAGAGAGCCAAUGGCAACGGUCCUCAGAGGCCCUCCUGAGAUCGCAGGAGCUAAAUCCCACCCACCCUCUUUCAGAACAUUUGUAGAGCAUUCUGGGAAUAUUCUGAUAAUACCGAUAACUCUCCCAUCAUAAGAUCAUGCAAGGCUUAGAAAAUCUCCACAAACCUAAAAACUUUGCAAGCUUAUAGAUGACCGAAAAUUGGAUGGACGUAAGCUAGAUUUCUUUUGCUGGUAGUGUUAGGAAAAAAUAUACAACUGAAAUCAAAAUGAUAGAAAAUGUCAGUUUAAUAGAUAUGAUAUCAUUAUCAAAGAUUCACUUUACAUUUAACAACACAUUGGCCCAGAAUUCAUUUUGUGUUCAUAUUGUACAUUUAUUUCUCAGCUACCAUUUGUUGUUAUUUUGAUUUUGAACCAUUAUCUGUUGCUUUUUCUGCCCAGUGUUUCUGGUCUUAGCCUCCCGUACAUAUAUAUUUUUUUCAUUUAUUAUCUGUUGUUCCUUAAAAGUACUAGACUUGUAAAUCAUAUUUCAUUUCUAUUUUCCAUCCUGUUUUCAAUAUAUAUUUUAUAUAUAUGUUUUUGCUUUGCAUGUUGAACUAACUUGGUCAUAAAAAUAAAUGCAAGAAUGAAGAAACUUUGAAACA
Molecule: long non-coding RNA, 860 nt
Filed under: Scleropages formosus (Asian bonytongue)
Lineage: Eukaryota; Metazoa; Chordata; Actinopteri; Osteoglossiformes; Osteoglossidae
Description: lncRNA (ENSSFOG00015026566.1)
Source: RNAcentral